AACGAACGCUGGCGGCAUGCCUAACACAUGCAAGUCGAACGAGACCUUCGGGUCUAGUGGCGCACGGGUGCGUAACGCGUGGGAACCUGCCCUUAGGUUCGGAAUAACUCCCCGAAAGGGGUGCUAAUACCGGAUAAUGUCUUCGGACCAAAGAUUUAUCGCCUUUGGAUGGGCCCGCGUUGGAUUAGCUAGUUGGUAGGGUAAAAGCCUACCAAGGCGACGAUCCAUAGCUGGUCUGAGAGGAUGAUCAGCCACACUGGGACUGAGACACGGACCAGACUCCUACGGGAGGGAGCAGUGGGGAAUAUUGGACGAUGGGCGAAAGCCUGAUCCAGCAAUGCCGCGUGAGUGAUGAAGGCCUUAGGGUUGUAAAGCUCUUUUACCCGGGAUGAUAAUGACAGUACCGGGAGAAUAAGCUCCGGCUAACUCCGUG
RNAcentral lists this ribosomal RNA (433 nucleotides) under uncultured bacterium. RNAcentral's name for it is "partial 16S ribosomal RNA". It matches the Rfam family "Bacterial small subunit ribosomal RNA", at positions 29 to 507 of the family's 1533-position model. The record is from RNAcentral.